This 465-nucleotide ribosomal RNA is filed under the name uncultured bacterium. RNAcentral describes it as "partial 16S ribosomal RNA". The record is from RNAcentral.
GACUACCGGGGUAUCUAAUCCCGUUUGCUCCCCACGCUUUCGAGCCUCAGCGUCAGUUACGCGCCAGUGAGCCGCUUUCGCCACGGGUGUUCCUCCAGAUAUCUACGCAUUUCACCGCUACACCUGGAAUUCCGCUCACCUCUCACGUACUCUAGCCAAGUAGUAUCCAAAGCACUUCCGAGGUUAAGCCCCGGGAUUUCACUUCAGACUGACUUGGCCGCCUGCGCUCCCUUUACGCCCAGUAAUUCCGAACAACGCUUGCAACCUCCGUAUUACCGCGGCUGCUGGCACGGAGUUGGCCGUUGCUUAUUCCUGAGGUACCGUCAUACCCAUACCAUUUCCUGCACAGGCUAUUCUUCCCUCAGAAAAGGAGUUUACGACCCGAAGGCCUUCAUCCUCCACGCGGCAUGGCUGGGUCAGGCUUGCGCCCAUUGCCCAAUAUUCCCCACUGCAGCCUCCCGUAGG